UUCGCCUAGCCACAGCAGCUCCAUCAUACAGACUCCGCAAGCCAAGAGCCCGUGGAGGCAAAUGCAGACAGCCAGCACACCUCGAACAGCCACCUUGACUGCGGGUGUGUCACCCUAGUCGCCAAGGAAACAUUUGAGGGAAAGCGACAGGCAAUAAGAACAGUCACUUCUCCAUGUAAACGAUACUCUUUCUCUCGGAUGACUCCUACGUUUGCCACGCCAGCACACUUGUGCACAAAGAUGCCGCGGAAGCACGUGCAGGUCAGAGGCAAGAAGCAGUGGCACUGGUGUCAACAUUCGCCCAAUUUCUUUUUCUUACACUGAGGCAGCCAGCACACCUCGAACAGCCACCUUAACUGCGGGUGUGUUAGUAGAUUCCUGUUGUACAUAUGCUCAUAAUAAUCUUCAGCAAACUUGAACUUGAUAAUAAACUUGAAGACAAAUGGGA
RNAcentral lists this long non-coding RNA (448 nucleotides) under Dermacentor andersoni. RNAcentral's name for it is "uncharacterized LOC126538405". Lineage: Eukaryota; Metazoa; Arthropoda; Arachnida; Ixodida; Ixodidae. The record is from RNAcentral.